RNAcentral lists this ribosomal RNA (407 nucleotides) under uncultured bacterium. RNAcentral describes it as "partial 16S ribosomal RNA". It matches the Rfam family "Bacterial small subunit ribosomal RNA", at positions 30 to 526 of the family's 1533-position model. The record is from RNAcentral.
AUUGAACGCUGGCGGCAUGCCUAAUACAUGCAAGUCGAGCGGAGCGGCGAACGGGUGAGUAAUGCCUAGGAAUCUGCCUGGUAGUGGGGGAUAACGUCCGGAAACGGGCGCUCAUCCCGCAUACACUCAGAUGAGCCUAGGUCGGAUUAGCUUGUUGGAGGGGUAAAGGUCUACCAAGGCGACGAUCCGUAACUGGUCUGAGAGGAUGAUAAGGCAGACUGGAACUGAGACACGGUCCAGACUCCUACGUGAGGCAGCAGUGGGGAAUAUGGGACAAUGGACGAAAGCCUGAUCAAGCAAAGCCGCGUGUGUGAAGAAGGUCUUCGGAUUGUAAAGCUCUGUAAGUGGGGAGGCGUUACCAACAGAGUAAGCAACGGCUAACUGCGUGCCAGCAGCCGCGGUAAUAC